GGGAAUACCCGUAGACCUUGCUUGAUUCUGCUUAUAGACAGGCAGGGGGGACAGUGUAUGCAAGAGAAAUCUGGAGUUCAUGCCAGCUCUUGUCAGCUUAAUGGGUAGCUGAAUAAAUUGCAGCAGUACUCCUACAUUU
Small nucleolar RNA from Suncus etruscus (white-toothed pygmy shrew), 139 nucleotides. RefSeq annotates it as small nucleolar RNA SNORA58. Lineage: Eukaryota; Metazoa; Chordata; Mammalia; Eulipotyphla; Soricidae. The record is from RefSeq and is a predicted model, not a curated record. The transcript has a single exon.